RNAcentral lists this long non-coding RNA (251 nucleotides) under Zonotrichia albicollis (white-throated sparrow). Its description in RNAcentral is "lncRNA (ENSZALG00000002029.1)". The record is from RNAcentral. Lineage: Eukaryota; Metazoa; Chordata; Aves; Passeriformes; Passerellidae.
GCAGAGUCCUGCCAGGGCUGCAGCUGUGGGAGCUGCCCAAGCAAUCCCUCCCCUUGCUGCAGGAUCUGAUGAUGAGGACACAGUGGACCAUGAUCAGGGCUGUGCGUCUCAAGGAGACCGCGGGACGGAGGAGAAUGCAAUCCAUGGCCACUUCUGGGGUGUGCAGUGCACAGAGGAUGCCAUGCAGCAAACACAGAGGGCCUGUCACAUGGAGCAACAUCCCCAUUUCUAUUAGUGGUGAUGAGAAGUAA